GUGGAUUAGAUACCCUGGUAGUCCACGCCCUAAACGAUGUCUACUAGUUGUCGGGUCUUAAUUGACUUGGUAACGCAGCUAACGCGUGAAGUAGACCGCCUGGGGAGUACGGUCGCAAGAUUAAAACUCAAAGGAAUUGACGGGGACCCGCACAAGCGGUGGAUGAUGUGGAUUAAUUCGAUGCAACGCGAAAAACCUUACCUACCCUUGACAUGGCUGGAAUCCCUGAGAGAUCGGGGAGUGCUCGAAAGAGAACCAGUACACAGGUGCUGCAUGUUCGUCGUCAACU
RNAcentral lists this ribosomal RNA (289 nucleotides) under uncultured bacterium. Its description in RNAcentral is "partial 16S ribosomal RNA". It matches the Rfam family "Bacterial small subunit ribosomal RNA", at positions 773 to 1060 of the family's 1533-position model. The record is from RNAcentral.